RNAcentral lists this non-coding RNA (22 nucleotides) under Arabidopsis thaliana (thale cress). Lineage: Eukaryota; Viridiplantae; Streptophyta; Magnoliopsida; Brassicales; Brassicaceae. The record is from RNAcentral.
GGGCGUGGUCCGGAGCGCGUGA